Molecule: transfer RNA, 72 nt
Filed under: Camelus bactrianus (Bactrian camel)
Lineage: Eukaryota; Metazoa; Chordata; Mammalia; Artiodactyla; Camelidae
Also listed under: 2 other names
Rfam family: tRNA
About the family: Transfer RNA (tRNA) molecules are approximately 80 nucleotides in length. Their secondary structure includes four short double-helical elements and three loops (D, anti-codon, and T loops).
Source: Rfam by way of RNAcentral
GAGGGUAUAGCUCAAUGGUAGAGUGCGUGCUUAGCAUGCAUGAGGUCCUGGGUUCAAUUCCCAGCACAUCUA